This 107-nucleotide small nuclear RNA is filed under the name Castor canadensis (American beaver). Lineage: Eukaryota; Metazoa; Chordata; Mammalia; Rodentia; Castoridae. The record is from RNAcentral.
GUGCUCACCUUGGCAGCACGUACACUGAAACUGGACUAACACAGAGAAGAUUAGCAUGGGUCCUACAUGCUUCAUGACAGCAAGUUUAUGAAGUGUUCCUUAUUUAA